AUGACCAACAAGGCCGCCACCGCCAGCAUCAUCGCCGCCGUGGGCGUCGUGGCCGUCAUCGGCACGAUCGCCGCGGUCACCACGUCCAAGAAGGCCAGCGACGAUGGUGGCAACAUGUCCACCAGCAUCAAGCUCUCCCAGCUCUGCUCCUCCACGCUGUACCCGGCCAAGUGCGAGAACAGCCUCACCCCCGUCGUCAACGAGUCGUCCAACCCGGAGGAGGUCCUCCGGGCCGCGCUCCAGGUGGCCAUGAACGAGAUCGGCGCCGCCUUCGCCAAAUACACCGACGUCGGCAAGGGCGCCGCCGACAAGAUCACCUUGAGCGCCAUCGGCGAGUGCAAGAAGCUGCUCGACGACGCCAUCGUGGACCUCAAAGACAUGGCCGGCCUCAGGGCCGACCAGGUCGUCGUCCAGGUCAACGACCUCAGGGUCUGGAUCUCCGGCGUCAUGACCUAUAUCUACACCUGCGCCGAUGGCUUCGACAAGCCGGAGCUCAAGCAUGCCAUGGACAAGCUGCUGAGGAACUCCACAGAGCUCAGCAGCAACGCCCUGGCUAUCAUCACCCGCGUCGGCCAGUUCCUGCAUCAAGGACAGGACGCCAAGAGUGAUUCCACCGGCGGAGGGAACCGCCGACUUCUCGGGUGGUACAUGGGUGACGCGCACGACGUGGAAAGCAGGCGCCGGCUUCUAGCUAUCAAUGGCAGGCUGGAUGAGAUCGCAGUCGUGAGAGACGCGAGCCGGCGCCUCCUGUCAGAGACGAUGGACGAGAUCACUGAGAUGUCCCACGACGGAGACCGCCACCUGUCGGAGACGAUGGACCAGAUCGACGAGAUGUCCCACAGCGGAGACCGCCACCUGUCGGAGACGAUGGACCAGAUCGAUGAGAUGUCCCACAACGGAGACCGCCACCUGUCGGAGACGAUGGACCAGAUCGAUGAGAUGUCCCACGACGGAGACCGCCACCUGUCGGAGACGAUGGACGAGAUCGAUGAGAUGUCCCACGACGGAGACCGCCACCUCCAAGACGUGAGCACGUCCAACCUCGCCGGAAACGUGAGCACGUCCAACCUUACCGGAAAGGCGAACACGUCCCAGGUCAUGUCGUUCGGCGACGGCUCGUCGGCCUCGAUGUUCUUCGGCGUCUCCAACCUGACUAAGGAGGCCGACUUCGUCCGGCGACGGCUGCUGAGCAUGACGUACAACGGCUCGUCGGAGAACGAGGUUAAACAAUAUGAUGAAGGCAACAAGCGAAGGCUCCUCAAUGAUCCUUCGUCGGAGGAUGAGGUUAAACAAUACGGUGAGGGCAACAAGCGAAGACUCCUCAACGACGCCUCGUCAGGGGACGAGGUUAAACAAUACGGCGAAGGCAACAAGCGAAGGCUUCUCAAUGAUGCCUCGUCGGGGGACGAGGUUAAGCAAUACGGCGCAGGCAACAAGCGAAAGCUCCUCAAUGAUGCCUCGUCGGGGGACGAGGUUAAACAAUACGGCGAAGGCAACAAGCGAAGGCUCCUCAACGACGCCUCAUCGGAUAACGAGGUUAAACAAUACGGCGAAGGCAACAAGCGAAGGCUCCUCAACGACGCCUCAUCGGAUAACGAGGUUAAACAAUACGGCGAAGGCAACAAGCGAAGGCUCCUCAACGACGCCUUGUCGGAUAACGAGGUUAAACAAUACGGCGAAGGCAAUAAGCGAAGGCUCCUCAACGACGCCUUAUCGGAUAACGAGGUUAAACAAUACGGCGAAGGCAACAGGCGAAAGCUCUUGUCCACUCAGAUGCAGAUCAUCGCCGACAUGUCGGCGCAGAUGAACCGCCGCCUCCUCGCGACGGAGCUCCCCGAGGACCUCGCCGGCAAGCGUCAGCUCCUGUCCAACAAGCUCGUCAUGAUCUACGAAGUCGCCAAGGAGGCCAACUGCGAGCUCGAGGCGAUCGGCAACGGCAGCUUCCCCGAGGAGGAGGAGGAUCAGAGGGUGCUGGCGACGGAGGUUGUCGGCACGAUCGAAGACCUGCCCAACAGCCACCGCCGCAAGCUGCUGUCCGCCGGCGUCUUCCCGGAGUGGGUGUCGUCCCACACCCGGAGGCUCCUCCAGAUUCCCGGCGGGCUGCAGAAGCCCAACGCGGUGGUGGCCGCGGACGGGAGCGGCAACUUCAAGACCAUCACGGAGGCCCUCAACUCCGUGCCCAAGAAGUCCACCGCACGCUUCGUCAUCUACGUCAAGGCCGGCGAAUACAAGGAGUACGUCACCGUCAGCAAGGACCAGGCCAACGUCUUCAUGUACGGAGACGGGCCGACCAAGACCCGGGUCAUCGGCGACAAGAGCAACAAGGGAGGCUUCGCCACCAUUGCCACCCGCACCUUCUCGGCGGAGGGGAACGGGUUCAUCUGCAAGUCGAUGGGAUUCGUGAACACGGCGGGGCCGGACGGGCACCAGGCGGUGGCGCUGCACGUGCAGGGGGACAUGUCGGUGUUCUUCAACUGCAGGUUCGAGGGGUACCAGGACACCCUGUACGUGCACGCCAACCGGCAGUUCUUCCGCAACUGCGAGGUGUUGGGCACCAUCGACUUCAUCUUCGGCAACUCGGCGGCGGUGUUCCAGAACUGCCUCAUGACGGUGCGGAAGCCCAUGGAAAGCCAGGGCAAUAUGGUGACCGCGCACGGGCGCACGGACCCCAACAUGCCCACCGGCAUCGUGCUCCAGGGGUGCAAGAUCGUGCCGGAGGACGCGCUGUUCCCCGUCAGGCAGACGGUCCCCAGCUACCUCGGACGGCCGUGGAAGGAAUACUCGAGGACGGUGAUCAUGGAGAGCACCAUCGGCGACCUCAUCAAGCCCGAGGGGUGGUCGGAGUGGAUGGGUGACCUCGGGCUCAAGACGCUCUACUACGCCGAGUACGCCAACACCGGGCCCGGCGCCGGGACAAGCAAGAGGGUGACCUGGCCGGGGUACCGUGUCAUCGGACAGGCUGAGGCCACGCAGUUCACCGCCGGCGUGUUCAUCGACGGCAUGAGCUGGCUCAAGAACACCGGCACGCCUAACGUUAUGGGCUUCAUCAAAUGA
Molecule: ribosomal RNA, 3054 nt
Filed under: Triticum aestivum (bread wheat)
Lineage: Eukaryota; Viridiplantae; Streptophyta; Magnoliopsida; Poales; Poaceae
Description: partial small subunit ribosomal RNA
Source: RNAcentral